RNAcentral lists this ribosomal RNA (274 nucleotides) under uncultured bacterium. RNAcentral's name for it is "partial 16S ribosomal RNA". It matches the Rfam family "Bacterial small subunit ribosomal RNA", at positions 523 to 796 of the family's 1533-position model. The record is from RNAcentral.
AUACAGAGGGUGCAAGCGUUAAUCCGAAUUACUGGGCGUAAAGCGCACGUAGGUGGUUCAUUAAGUCAGAUGUGAAAGCCCCGGGCUCAACCUGGGAACUGCAUUUGAAACUGGUGAGCUAGAGUAUGGUAGAGGUAAGUGGAAUUCCAGGUGUAGCGGUGAAAUGCGUAGAUAUCUGGAGGAACAUCAGUGGCGAAGGCGACUUACUGGACCAAUACUGACACUGAGGUGCGAAAGCGUGGGGAGCAAACAGGAUUAGAAACCCGAGUAGUCC